UACAGAGGUCUCAACCGUUGUUCGGAUUCAUUGGGCGUAAAGGGUGCGUAGGCGGUCGGGUAAGUCGGAUGUGAAAUCCCAGGGCUCAACCCUGGAACUGCAUUCGAUACUGCCUGGCUAGGGUACUGGAGAGGAGACUGGAAUUUACGGUGUAGCAGUGAAAUGCGUAGAUAUCGUAAGGAAGACCAGUGGCGAAGGCGGGUCUCUGGACAGUUCCUGACGCUGAGGCACGAAGGUCAGGGGAGCAAACGGG
Molecule: ribosomal RNA, 253 nt
Filed under: uncultured bacterium
Lineage: Bacteria
Description: partial 16S ribosomal RNA
Rfam family: Bacterial small subunit ribosomal RNA
Source: RNAcentral